Molecule: long non-coding RNA, 709 nt
Organism: Oreochromis aureus
Lineage: Eukaryota; Metazoa; Chordata; Actinopteri; Cichliformes; Cichlidae
Source: Ensembl
UUGAAUGCUCAUGCAGCAUGCCCACGUGACUGCACGUUGCACGCGUACAUGACUUUCCGUUUGUGCCUUGAAUAAUGAAUAAGGCUACGUCCACACGUACCAGCGUAUUUUUGAAACCGCUGAUUUUUCUAUGCGUUUGCACCUUUUGUCCACACGUAAUGUAUGUCUGGCCGUACAUUGUGUUUGUAUUUCCAGGCACAUUUCACGAAGCAGAACGCAGUCUUCAGAGAUAUCCACGUGAACGCUGUGAUACGUCUGACCUUCAGUCCGAAGAAGAAACCCAGACCAGUCUUAAAAGAAAGCACAAACCAAAUCCCCUGUACACAUAUACGGACUCAGAGGAUGAGCAGCCUACAAAAAAACGAGUGAAAAUACCAGGUAAUAAAAUACUGUCUAGUGUCUGUGUACAUAUCUGUGUCUGACACGAGGAAACUUUUUUGACAAGUUGUCUGUAUUCUUAAAUACUUAAAAAAAUUAUCUUUUUCUAAACAGCCCUCAUCACUCCGCAGUCUGCCCCCCAGCCCACUGAUAGCAACCAUCAUAAUGCCCCACCCAGCUUCCGGCACCUUUCGCCACUCCGGCACAAACCGACACAGCUUUGCGAUCUCGCCAGCAUGCAGAGUCUGAUGUCUUCCCUAUAGAUGGUAUGCUUUUAAAAAAGCUUUAAAGCUGCAUCACAAUGUCAUUGUACUCUUAUCUAAAAAAAACC